ACCAGGUGUGGUGGCAUGCGCCUGUAGUUCCAGCUAUUCAGGAGGCUAGGCAGAAGGAUUGCUGGAGGCCAAGAGCUCUGGAUUGAAGUACACUAUGCUGAUCCGGUGUCUGCACUCAGUUCUAGAUCAAUAUGGUGCCCUCCGGGGAACUGGGUACCACCAGCUUGACUAAAUAGGAGUAAACCAACCCAGAUCAGAAAUGGAGCAGGUCAAAACUCUCGUGCUUAUCAGUAGUAGGAUUGUGCCUGUUAAUAGCCACUACACUCAAGCCUGGGCAAUACAGUGAGACCCCACCUUU
This 298-nucleotide signal recognition particle RNA is filed under the name Carlito syrichta (Philippine tarsier). RNAcentral's name for it is "Metazoan signal recognition particle RNA (ENSTSYG00000026696.1)". It matches the Rfam family "Metazoan signal recognition particle RNA". Rfam says of the family: The signal recognition particle (SRP) is a universally conserved ribonucleoprotein. It is involved in the co-translational targeting of proteins to membranes. The record is from RNAcentral. Lineage: Eukaryota; Metazoa; Chordata; Mammalia; Primates; Tarsiidae.